RNAcentral lists this ribosomal RNA (468 nucleotides) under uncultured bacterium. Its description in RNAcentral is "partial 16S ribosomal RNA". It matches the Rfam family "Bacterial small subunit ribosomal RNA", at positions 28 to 507 of the family's 1533-position model. The record is from RNAcentral.
GACGAACGCUGGCGGCGUGCUUAACACAUGCAAGUCGAACGGAAAGGCCCUGCUUUUGUGGGGUGCUCGAGUGGCGAACGGGUGAGUAACACGUGAGUAACCUGCCCUUGACUUUGGGAUAACUUCAGGAAACUGGGGCUAAUACCGGAUAGGAGCUCCUGCUGCAUGGUGGGGGUUGGAAAGUUUCGGCGGUUGGGGAUGGACUCGCGGCUUAUCAGCUUGUUGGUGGGGUAGUGGCUUACCAAGGCUUUGACGGGUAGCCGGCCUGAGAGGGUGACCGGCCAAAUUGGGACUGAGGUACGGCCCAGACUCCUACGGGAGGCAGCAGGGGGGAAUAUUGCACAGUGGGCGGAAGCCUGAUGCAGCAGCGCCGGGUGCGGAAUGACGGCCUUCGGGUUGUAAACCGCUUUCGCCUGUGACGAAGCGUGAGUGACGGUAAUGGGUAAAGAAGCACCGGCUAACUACGUG